UCUGCAUACGGGUGAACUACAACUGGGUUUUUGUAUGUUUUCUGGGCUGUAUGGCCAUGUUCUAGAAGUAUUCUCUCCUGACGUUUUGCCCACAUCUAUGGCUGGCAUCCUCAGAGGUUGUGAGGUAUGGAGAAACUCAGCAAGAGGGGUUUAUAUAUAUCUGUGGGAAGUCCAGGGUGAGGGAAGAACUCUUGUCAGUUGGAGGCCAGCGUGAAUGUUGCAGUUAGUCGCCUUAAUUUGCAUUGAAUGGCUUAUUCUACUGGCUACUUUCUGCCUGGGGGCAUCCUUUGUUAGCUGCACUUAGUUCUCAUGUAGAAUCAUAGAAUCAUAGAAUAGUAGAGUUGGAAGAGACCUCAUGGGCCAUCCAGUCCAACCCCCUGUCAAGAAGCAGGAAAUAUCUCAGAGUGUUGCUUCUUAUUUACUUUCUGAUUUUUGAGUCUUUUAAUACUGGUAGCCAGAUUUUGUUCAUUUUCAUGGUUUCCUCCUUUCUGUUGAAGUUGUCCACAUGCUUGUGAAUUUCAAGGGCUUCUCUGUGUAGUCUGACAUGAUAGUUAUUGGAGUGGUCAAGCAUUUCUGUGUUCUCAAAUAAUAUACUGUGUCCAGGUUGGUUCAUCAGGUGCUCUGUUAUGGCUGAUUUCUCUAGUUGAAUUAGUCUGCAGUGCCUUUCAUGUUCUUUGACUCGUGUUUGGGCACUGCGUUUGGUGGUUCCUAUGUAGACUUGUCCACAGCUGCAUGGUAUAUGGUAGACUCCUGCAGAGGUGAGAGGAUCCCUUUUGUCCUUCACUGACCAUUUGUUGGAUUUUCAUUGUGGGUCUGUAGAUAGUUUGUAGGUUGUGUUUCUUCAUCAGUUUGCCUACACGGUCAAUGGUUCCCUUGAUGUAUGGAAAGGUGUUCUUACCAUACAUCAAGGGAACUACUGACCGCAUAGGGAAGCUGAUGAAGAAGCACAACCUACAAACUAUCUACAGACCCACGAAGAAAAUCCAACAAAUGCUACGGUCAGCAAAGGACAAGAGGGAUCCUCUCUCUUCUGCAGGAGUCUACCGGAUACCAUGCAGCUGUGGACAAGUCUACAUAGGGACCACCAAACGCAGCACCCAAACAAGAGUCAAAGAACAUGAAAGGCACUGCAGACUAAUUCAACCAGAGAAAUCAGCCAUAGCAGAGCAUUUGAUGAACCAGCCUGGACACAGAAUACUAUUUGAGAACACAAAAAUGCUGGACCAUUCUAACAACUAUCAUGUCAGACUGCACAGAGAAGCCAUUGAAAUCCACAAGCAUGUGGACAACUUCAACAGAAAGGAAGAAACCAUGAAAAUGAACAAAAUCUGGCUACCAGUAUUAAAAAACUCAAAAAUCAGAACAGUAAAUAAAAAGCAAUACUCUGAAAACAGAGGAUUUCCAGACAUGAAUCAACCAAGGGCAGUUAACGACUCUAAACAAAGGAUGCCCCAGAGGCAGGAAGAAGACAGCAGAUAAGCUUUUCAAUGCUAAUUAAAGUGAUUAACUACACAACAUUCACACUGACCUCUCUCACCCUAGACUUUCCACAGAUAUAUAUUAACCUCUUUGCUUAGUUUUCUCCAUACCUCACAACCUCUGAGGAUGCCUGCCAUAGAUGUGGGCGAAAAGUCAGGAGAGAAUGCUUCUGGAACAUGGCCACACAGCCCGAAAGACAUACAACCCUGUGAUUCACCACCACCUUCACCCACUUGGCCGAACCCCCUCUGGCUUCUUUCACCAGCCAGGAUGGGCAGGGGUCCAGGAUGCAUGUGGUCGCUCUCGCCUCUCCAAGGAUCUUGUCCACGUCCUCGAGCUCAACCAAUUGAAAUGAAUCCAUCAAAACUGGACAAGCAGGUGCUCUCGUUACAUCCUCAGAGACUGCCAUUAAUAUGGUGUCAAAGUUGGAGCGGAUCAGAGCGACUUUGUCUGCAAAGAACCGAGCAAAUGCUUCACAGUGGGCUGCCGAGUUAUCAGGGCUC
Molecule: long non-coding RNA, 1982 nt
Organism: Anolis carolinensis (green anole)
Lineage: Eukaryota; Metazoa; Chordata; Lepidosauria; Squamata; Anolidae
Source: Ensembl